This 229-nucleotide long non-coding RNA is filed under the name Marmota monax (woodchuck). Lineage: Eukaryota; Metazoa; Chordata; Mammalia; Rodentia; Sciuridae. The record is from RNAcentral.
GAAGCUUGGAGGGAAGUUUGAUAAAACCUUCAUUGGAGGGGAUUGAGAAGAGCACGGACAUCUCAUUGGUGGAAUCAAGAAACUAAUUUCCUUGUAUUAAGUGCACUUCAUGUAUUUCUAAUAAGAUGACUUUCCAGAAAGUGAAAUUUGUUAUGUUCUGGCUUUUAAAAGGUGAAAUAUAAAUAAAUUUCAUAAUUUAUCCAAAAAAAAGAUUGAAAAACUAAAGUUG